RNAcentral lists this transfer RNA (66 nucleotides) under Nysius fuscovittatus. Its description in RNAcentral is "tRNA-Pro". The record is from RNAcentral. Lineage: Eukaryota; Metazoa; Arthropoda; Insecta; Hemiptera; Lygaeidae.
CAGUGGGUAGUUUAACUUAGAAUAUUAAUUUUGGAGAUUAAAGGUGGAUAAAUUAUCUUUCACUGA